CACGCUAGACAUGGGGACGAAGUGCCAAAAUGGUGCUUCAUCUUGGUUUGUGGGUUGUCAAACUUGACAAAUCAAUUAGUUGUUCACCAGGUCAUUUU
This is a non-coding RNA of Pogona vitticeps (central bearded dragon), 98 nucleotides long. The record is from RefSeq and is a predicted model, not a curated record. Lineage: Eukaryota; Metazoa; Chordata; Lepidosauria; Squamata; Agamidae.